RNAcentral lists this ribosomal RNA (253 nucleotides) under uncultured bacterium. Its description in RNAcentral is "partial 16S ribosomal RNA". It matches the Rfam family "Bacterial small subunit ribosomal RNA", at positions 524 to 776 of the family's 1533-position model. The record is from RNAcentral.
UACGUAGGGGGCGAGCGUUGUCCGGAAUCAUUGGGCGUAAAGCGCGUGUAGGCGGGAGGCCAAGUCUGCGGUGAAAUCGCUCGGCUCAACUGGGCGGGGUCCGUGGAAACUGGUCACCUGGAGGACGGUAGAGGCGAGUGGAAUUCCCGGUGUAGUGGUGAAAUGCGCAGAUAUCAGGAGGAACACCAAUGGCGAAGGCAGCUCGCUGGGACGGUACUGACGCUGAGGCGCGAAAGCGUGGGGAGCAAACAGG